Octopus sinensis (East Asian common octopus) is the source of this 756-nucleotide long non-coding RNA. RefSeq lists it as uncharacterized. The record is from RefSeq and is a predicted model, not a curated record. Lineage: Eukaryota; Metazoa; Mollusca; Cephalopoda; Octopoda; Octopodidae. The transcript has 3 exons.
CACUUUGCACCGCCGCCGCGCAGCGUCGCCACUGCUGGCAACACUGCUGAUGUUUGGCUGCUGAAGGUUUCAGCUGAGGGCUUUGCUCGGUUGUUGUGGUGAACCCAUCUAUUGUGUUCCUUUGAGGCUUUUAUGCCUGGUGGCCUGUCUGUCCAGUGCAGGCCAAUGCUGUGCAAGUGGUACGCUUCUCAGCUGUACUACUGCCUUUACCAUGUUCUCUUACUGGCUGCUAUCGUAGGAUCGCAUCCGUUGGCAUUUACCUCGCUGCCGUUCCACCUCAACGAAUGCUUCCAAAUGCCGUGCACUUUAACCGCGAACGUUCCCUACACGCAAUCACUUCCACACACAACGACAUCAACAGCCUAAACCGUUUUCAUCUAUCCUGCAUACCGCCAUCACCACCACCGCUGUUAUUACCUAGCACCACUACUAACACAUUUAUUUACAAGGCGACCCACUCUACGAAUCACGGCUCGUUGAUUUGCUGCCGAGGUUAACGACACCACCAUCUCACGAACCCCACUUAGUCUUGUAUACCUUCUACAUUAUCUUCUACUCUUUUUCUACAUUGUCCAGAGAUCGCUCAAUGGAAUGUAUCGAUAAUUGAUCUUUUUCAAAAGCCUUGAAGAGAUGGGUUAUGAAGUUGUCAGAUUUCAGGGGGAUGUUGAUGAAGAAUUGAUUUGUGCUAUUUGCAGUGGAGUCCUUGAGGAUCCACUCCAGGUAAGUUAAUUAACCAAAAAUAUUCAGUUUGUCCCU